Long non-coding RNA from Xenia sp. Carnegie-2017, 624 nucleotides. RefSeq lists it as uncharacterized. The record is from RefSeq and is a predicted model, not a curated record. The transcript has 2 exons. NCBI's taxonomy places the organism in Eukaryota, Metazoa, Cnidaria, Anthozoa, Malacalcyonacea, Xeniidae.
AACAACUUCGUAUUUUAUUUAAAGGUACUUCGCAAGACUUUCCUACAUCACGGAGUAGCUUGUGACUGCCUUGGACAAAAUCCAACGUGCGAGUGAGGACACCUAUGCUUAUCCUUGUGUUUAUGUCGCAUAUGAGGACGAGACAUUUUUAAUACGAAAGCUGUUGCUGUUUAUAAGUGUAAUUGAUGAUGACGAAGUACAAUGAGGAAUAAUGAAAAUUUAAAUGUUUUUAAACGGCAUUUGGUGGGGUGUAAGGAAGGGAAAUGUGAAAUGUAGUACUGUAUAAUGCUUAAUUUGUCUCUUCCGCAUUGGCAUCCAAGCUGGCAUCGCAGCGUUGAACAUUAUGUUUGCAUACAUCGUUAUUUCAUAUUUUAUCAACUCGUAAGCUCGUAGCUCAACAGUUGCUUAAGAUAUCUGUUUCUCCGUGCAUCAAAAUUGAUUUUGUGACCUAUCAGACCUGUCUUCAUAUAGGCAUAUAAACGAAAAAUUUUCUAUGGCCUGAUAUUUUAAGAAUUUCAUACUACUGAAGGUCUUAAUUACAGUCUCACUUUUGUCGAUAUAACAAAGAUAUGUGAUGAGGAGUAAUUUCAUAGGUAAAUGACAAUAAAUUAGAUUGAAAGACAC